UUAGUGAUCAAAUGUAAAUGUUUUGAGGUUAUUUUUUCAUGUUUUUUAAAAUCAAUUUUAACCAAAUAUUAAACCCUUUAUUUGCCAGCCUAUCUGUGUCGUUGGCCUUAUGACGAGGAGUGCCUGUGGGUUAUCCUAAUCGUUGUCUUGGUCACUCUUGGUUGGGCCUGGUUGACUUUGCCAGUCAGCUCCUACAGUGAUCAGUUGGCCACCUCUAGAUCUGUGUUUGCCGGUCUAGACGUAAUCGGUGCACUUACUUGAAGUGCCGGGUUGCAGCGAUCCCAGAACGUUGAUAACGUGAUCUGAUCCCUAAGUUGAGAGCUGUCUUCCUGUAACGCUUCCGAAUAAGAGGUCCUGGUCGAAAGAGUUGAAAGAUACGAAAUUAGUUGGUCGUUGGAAUCCUGAUCGCAGUAAAGUGGUCCUUGGUAACUGCACACGAGUAAAACAUGUCUGCAUCGCCAGUAGUCUGCUAAUAGGGAGGGCUGUGCGAUUAAAGGCUUCCAUCGAUUGGGUAGUAUCCUUCAAGUGGGUGGCGAAGAGCCAGUCGGGCCUAUGUCAUGAAGGUUUCUCCGACCGCUUAAUGGUUUGCUGCUUGACUAGC
RNAcentral lists this long non-coding RNA (601 nucleotides) under Androctonus crassicauda. The record is from RNAcentral. Lineage: Eukaryota; Metazoa; Arthropoda; Arachnida; Scorpiones; Buthidae.